This 239-nucleotide ribosomal RNA is filed under the name uncultured Lactobacillus sp. Its description in RNAcentral is "partial 16S ribosomal RNA". It matches the Rfam family "Bacterial small subunit ribosomal RNA", at positions 122 to 354 of the family's 1533-position model. Lineage: Bacteria; Bacillati; Bacillota; Bacilli; Lactobacillales; Lactobacillaceae. The record is from RNAcentral.
UAACCUGCCCAAGAGAUCGGGAUAACACCUGGAAACAGAUGCUAAUACCGGAUAACAACAGAUGAUGCCUAUCAACUGUUUAAAAGAUGGUUCUGCUAUCACUCUUGGAUGGACCUGCGGUGCAUUAGCUAGUUGGUAGGGUAACGGCCUACCAAGGCGAUGAUGCAUAGCCGAGUUGAGAGACUGAUCGGCCACAUUGGGACUGAGACAGGCCCAAACUCCUACGGGAGGCAGCAGAC